GUGGGGAAUUUUGGACAAUGGGCGCAAGCCUGAUCCAGCAAUGCCGCGUGCAGGAAGAAGGCCUUCGGGUUGUAAACUGCUUUUGUACGGAACGAAACGGUCCUGGUUAAUACCUGGGGCUAAUGACGGUACCGUAAGAAUAAGCACCGGCUAACUACGUGCCAGCAGCCGCGGUAAUACGUAGGGUGCGAGCGUUAAUCGGAAUUACUGGGCGUAAAGCGUGCGCAGGCGGUGCUGUAAGACAGGCGUGAAAUCCCUGGGCUCAACCUGGGAAUUGCGCUUGUGACUGCAGUGCUGGAGUACGGCAGAGGGGGAUGGAAUUCCGCGUGUAGCAGUGAAAUGCGUAGAUAUGCGGAGGAACACCGAUGGCGAAGGCAGUCCCCUGGGCCUGUACUGACGCUCAUGCACGAAAGCGUGGGGAGCAAACAGGAUUAGAAACCCGGGUAGUCC
RNAcentral lists this ribosomal RNA (450 nucleotides) under uncultured bacterium. RNAcentral describes it as "partial 16S ribosomal RNA". It matches the Rfam family "Bacterial small subunit ribosomal RNA", at positions 354 to 796 of the family's 1533-position model. The record is from RNAcentral.